GAGAGAGAGAGAGAGAGAGAGAGAGAGAGAGAGAGAGAGAGAGAGAGGAGAGAGAGGGUUUCAAUCGGAUCCAUCGUGGCCAAAAUGGGUUGGAUCGAGUUGGAACGGGAAGAUCUUCACUCGAAUGAUCGUGGGGGAAGAACCCUCAUCAUAGCAAUCAUAUCAUGAAAUAGAACGACAGCAAGAACACCACGGAGAUCCCAAAGUCUACAGCUAGUGGGGAAACAAGUCGCUUCCAAAUGAGGGAAGGGCGGCGGCGGCAGGGGGGUUGACUUACAAAAAAGGACAAAAGAGGCAGUUCCUACUUACAGAGGCCGGCGGCUGGAGAGAUGAAGCUGAGGGCAUAUCAUCAGAUGACUGCCAGAGAUGCGGCGAUCGUCACCAGGAAGAGGGGAAGGGAGGAAGACGGGCGCCAUGCGUGCGCACUCGGCGGCUGGGCGGGCGGCGGCGAGGUGGUGUCCAGCGGCGAUAUGGCGGCGUUCGGCGAGGCGGGGGGCAGCGGCGGCUCUACGACGUCGGCCUCCGUUAGAACUGGACUUGGCGGCGCCGCCGGCAAAGCGUCAGAAGGAAGUAAGCUGAACAAGGCCCCAGGCUGGACGGGAAACAUGUAUGGGGGCAUGUCCUUGCCAAGAUUCAAGCAAAGGUUUCCUGCAUCACAAUAGCAAGAUGA
This 670-nucleotide long non-coding RNA is filed under the name Spirodela polyrhiza (greater duckweed). Its description in RNAcentral is "long non-coding RNA (SPOL_LNC002209)". Lineage: Eukaryota; Viridiplantae; Streptophyta; Magnoliopsida; Alismatales; Araceae. The record is from RNAcentral.